CCUACGGGGGGCAGCAGUGGGGAAUAUUGCACAAUGGGGGAAACCCUGAUGCAGCGACGCCGCGUGGGUGAAGAAGUAAUUCGUUACGUAAAGCUCUAUCAGCAGGGAAGAUAUACUGACUUUACGGUCAGCAGACGGUACCUGAGUAAGAAGCACCGGCUAACUAAGUGCCAGCAGCCGCGGUAAUACGGAGGGGGCAAGCGGUAUCCGGAUUUACUGGGUGUAAAGGGAGCGUAGUCGGUGCGCCAAGUCCGAAGUGAAAUGCCGAAGCUUAACUGCGGAACUGCAUUGGAAACUGGCGAACUAGAGUGCGGGAGAGGUAGGCGGAAUUCCUGGUGUAGCGGUGAAAUGCGUAGAGAUUAAGAGGAACACCGGUGGCGAAGGCGGCUUACUGGACCGUAACUGACGUUGAGGCGCGAAAGCGUGGGGAGCAAACAGGAUUAGAUACCCGAGUAGUC
RNAcentral lists this ribosomal RNA (458 nucleotides) under uncultured bacterium. Its description in RNAcentral is "partial 16S ribosomal RNA". It matches the Rfam family "Bacterial small subunit ribosomal RNA", at positions 338 to 795 of the family's 1533-position model. The record is from RNAcentral.